This 253-nucleotide ribosomal RNA is filed under the name uncultured bacterium. Its description in RNAcentral is "partial 16S ribosomal RNA". It matches the Rfam family "Bacterial small subunit ribosomal RNA", at positions 524 to 776 of the family's 1533-position model. The record is from RNAcentral.
UACGGGGGGAGCGAACGUUGUUCGGAAUCACUGGGCGUAAAGGGCGUGUAGGCGGCUGAAUAAGUGGGAUGUUAAAUCCCCCGGCUCAACCGGGGACCUGCAUCUCAUACUGUUCAGCUCGAGCACAUCAGAGGAGACUGGAAUUCCCGGUGUAGCAGUGAAAUGCGUAGAUAUGUGGAGGAACACCAAUGGCGAAGGCAGCCCCCUGGGUCAACACUGACGCUCAUGCACGAAAGCGUGGGGAGCAAACAGG